UUCUGCUCAGAGCGAACGCUGGCGGCAUGCUUAACACAUGCAAGYYGCACGAAGGUUUCGGCCUUAGUGGCGGACGGGUGAGUAACGCGUAGGAAUCUAUCCAUGGGUGGGGGAUAACUCUGGGAAACUGGAGCUAAUACCGCAUGAUACCUGAGGGUCAAAGGCGCAAGUCGCCUGUGGAGGAGCCUGCGUUUGAUUAGCUUGUUGGUGGGGUAAUGGCCUACCAAGGCGAUGAUCAAUAGCUGGUCUGAGAGGAUGAUCAGCCACACUGGGACUGAGACACGGCCCAGACUCCUACGGGAGGCAGCAGUGGGGAAUAUUGGACAAUGGGGGCAACCCUGAUCCAGCAAUGCCGCGUGUGUGAAGAAGGUUUUCGGAUUGUAAAGCACUUUCGACGGGGACGAUGAUGACGGUACCCGUAGAAGAAGCCCCGGCUAACUUCGUGCCAGCAGCCGCGGUAAUACGAAGGGGGCUAGCGUUGCUCGGAAUGACUGGGCGUAAAGGGCGUGUAGGCGGUUUGUACAGUCAGAUGUGAAAUCCCCGGGCUUAACCUGGGAGCUGCAUUUGAUACGUGCAGACUAGAGUGUGAGAGAGGGUUGUGGAAUUCCCAGUGUAGAGGUGAAAUUCGUAGAUAUUGGGAAGAACACCGGUGGCGAAGGCGGCAACCUGGCUCAUAACUGACGCUGAGGCGCGAAAGCGUGGGGGAGCAAACAGGAUUAGAUACCCUGGUAGUCCACGCUGUAAACGAUGGUGUGCUAGAUGUUUGGGUAAACUUAGUUUAUUUCAGGUGUCGC
RNAcentral lists this ribosomal RNA (794 nucleotides) under Acetobacter orientalis. RNAcentral's name for it is "bacterial SSU rRNA". It matches the Rfam family "Bacterial small subunit ribosomal RNA", at positions 18 to 849 of the family's 1533-position model. Lineage: Bacteria; Pseudomonadati; Pseudomonadota; Alphaproteobacteria; Acetobacterales; Acetobacteraceae. The record is from RNAcentral.